UUUCUUUUUCUUUAUUUUUGGUGGGCAUCUUUGGCCUCUUUUAUUUUUUUGUAUGGGCUUCGUAGGCCUCUUUUAUUUUUUUGUAAAGUCCGGAGACUCACUCCAACUUGUGAUGAAAUCAUAGCUUCCAUAAUCCUUUGCUCACACGGGACAAUGCUCUAAUAAUGCAAAUCAUCACACUUUUAUUUACUUACAACUCAAAGAUUACAACUCGAUAUCUGGAACAAAAUAUGACUCUAUAAGCAAUAUGGAAGUGAUGUUGAGUGUCAUAAAAAAACGGGACGGUGGUGUUGCAUGGCAAUAUAUUUCGGAAUGUCUAUGAAAAUGCCAUAAUAGAUAGGUAUGGUGGCUGUUUUGAGGAAAGUAUAUGGUGGCAGUUUUGAGGAAAGUGAGUUUAGUGUACCGGCGAAAGUUGUGCGGUACUAGAGAGGCUAGCAAAGGUGGAAGGGUGAGAGUGCGUAUAAUCCUGAACUCAACAUUAGUCAUAAAGAACUCACAUACUUAUUGAAAAAGCCUAUUAGUUAUCGAAGCAAAGUAUUAGAUGCAUGCUCCUAGGGGAAGAGUUGGUAGGAGUUAACCAUCGCGCGAUCCCGAC
Molecule: long non-coding RNA, 595 nt
Filed under: Hordeum vulgare
Lineage: Eukaryota; Viridiplantae; Streptophyta; Magnoliopsida; Poales; Poaceae
Description: long non-coding RNA (HVUL_LNC016405)
Source: RNAcentral